RNAcentral lists this ribosomal RNA (496 nucleotides) under uncultured bacterium. Its description in RNAcentral is "partial 16S ribosomal RNA". It matches the Rfam family "Bacterial small subunit ribosomal RNA", at positions 28 to 506 of the family's 1533-position model. The record is from RNAcentral.
GAUGAACGCUGGCGGCGUGCCUAAUACAUGCAAGUCGAGCGAACGGACGAGAAGCUUGCUUUUCUGAUGUUAGCGGCGGACGGGUGAGUAACACGUGGAUAACCUACCUAUAAGACUGGGAUAACUUCGGGAAACCGGAGCUAAUACCGGAUAAUAUUUUGAACCGCAUGGUUCAAAAGUGAAAGACGGUCUUGCUGUCACUUAUAGAUGGAUCCGCGCUGCAUUAGCUAGUUGGUAAGGUAACGGCUUACCAAGGCAACGAUGCAUAGCCGACCUGAGAGGGGAAAGGGCAAAAAUGGAACUGAGAAACGGUCAAGACCCCUAAGGGGGGCAGCAGGAGGGAAUCUUCCGCAAGGGGCGAAAGCCUGACGGAGCAACGCCGGGUGGGUGAUGAAGGUCUUCGGAUAGUAAAACGUUGUUAUUAGGGAAAAAAAAAUGUGUAAGUAAAUGUGAACAUCUGGACGGUACCAAAUAAGAAAGCCACGGAUAACUAGGU